RNAcentral lists this unclassified non-coding RNA (336 nucleotides) under soil metagenome. RNAcentral describes it as "partial contains 5.8S ribosomal RNA, internal transcribed spacer 2, and large subunit ribosomal RNA". The stretch from base 1 to 120 matches the Rfam family "5.8S ribosomal RNA", at positions 35 to 154 of the family's 154-position model. The record is from RNAcentral.
GAUGAAGAACGUAGCGAAAUGCGAUAAGUAAUGUGAAUUGCAGAAUUCAGUGAAUCAUCGAAUCUUUGAACGCACAUUGCGCCCGCCAGUAUUCUGGCGGGCAUGCCUGUUCGAGCGUCAUUUCAACCAUCAAGCCCCAGGCUUGUGUUGGAGACCUGCGGCUGCCGCAGGCCCUGAAAACCAGUGGCGGGCUCGCUGUCACACCGGGCGUAGUAGAUUUUAUCUCGCUCAGGGCGUGCUGCGGGUUCCGGCCGUUAAAAAGCCUUUUUUACCCAAGGUUGACCUCGGAUCAGGUAGGAAGACCCGCUGAACUUAAGCAUAUCAAUAAGCGGAGGA